AAGUCGUAACAAGGUUUCCGUAGGUGAACCUGCGGAAGGAUCAUUACCAAAUCUUUGUGUCCUGACUGAAAGGUCUUGACGCUUUAACCCUUUGUGAACUAAAUUUCAUACGCUUCGGUAGCAAGCUAGUUUGGUUUAUAGCCGACCUAGUUGUUAGCCUGCCGUGAGCACCAUUAUUAAAAACUUGUAUUUCAAUCAAUUGUCUGAAUAAACAGAUUUUUGAAUGAAAAUCAAAACUUUCAACAACGGAUCUCUUGGUUCUCGCAUCGAUGAAGAACGCAGCGAAACGCGAUAGUUAAUGUGAAUUGCAGAAUUCAGUGAAUCAUCGAGUCUUUGAACGCACAUUGCGCCCAUUGGUAUUCCAUUGGGCAUGUCUGUUUGAGCGUCAUUACAACCCCUCAGCGCAAGCUGGUUUUGAGUUCGCACAAGCCGGGAUUACUGGAAACAGUUUUUGCGGCCGAGUGCUGGCUUUAAAGUUGUAAGCUCUGCUGGCUGCUUUGCCAAACUACAAACAUAGUAAAACUACUUUUGUUUACAGUGAAGCUUAGUGGUUCGGCCUGAACAAAACCACAAAUUUUCUAGGUUUGACCUCAGAUCAGACAAGGAUACCCGCUGAACUUA
This 621-nucleotide ribosomal RNA is filed under the name uncultured fungus. RNAcentral describes it as "eukaryotic LSU rRNA". The stretch from base 235 to 388 matches the Rfam family "5.8S ribosomal RNA". Lineage: Eukaryota; Fungi. The record is from RNAcentral.